CCUCCCCCAACAUGUCGCGGGCGUGACCAAAGGCUCUCCCUGCGCUCCCAACUCCCUCGGCCUCCCAGCCACCUUACACGGAGACAAACACCUCUGUGUUUGAUGUGGUAGGAGACAUUUUCUCAACCUCCUGGAAAGCGGGAGUAAAGGCAUUUUAGACUCCUUUGCUAUUUCUCCUGGUCCAGAUGGUGCCGUCUAAGUGGAAAUGCAGUGACAUCACAACGUACUUUGACAGCAUUUUAAUGGUUCCAAGAUACUUUGCAUGACAGAAACAGAACCUCGGAGAGAGGACCACACUCCCCCAAGGGGCAGAGUUCUCCUGAGCCCAUCAAGACCCCAUUUCACCUGACGGUUGGUGCCGGAGAUGCUCUGUCUAUGAGACCCAGGUUGCUCCGGGAACACUGCCCGACGCCAUAGCGCUGGCCCUACAUGGGCUCUCCAUACCUGGUCUCAUUUCACAGCCUGACCCUCUGCAACAUCAUCCAAUCCCAAGUGGCAGCCACUGGCCUCUGUAGCUACUGAGCACGUGCAGUGAGGCCAGUCCAAAUGGAGAGGGCUGUGGACACACUGACUUUCAAGACUUAGUGCAAAAGAAAGAAAAAAAAGAACAGAAUGUAAAAUCUCAUUGAUGACUCUUUCCAUGGAUUACAUGGUAAAAUGGUAAUGUUUGGAAUUAUACAUUGGGUUAAAUAAACUACUUUAUGAAAAUUAA
Hipposideros armiger (great roundleaf bat) is the source of this 712-nucleotide long non-coding RNA. RefSeq lists it as uncharacterized. The record is from RefSeq and is a predicted model, not a curated record. The transcript is spliced from 3 exons. NCBI's taxonomy places the organism in Eukaryota, Metazoa, Chordata, Mammalia, Chiroptera, Hipposideridae.